UCAACCAUCAAACAGCAGCCAAAAUAAGGACAUGCAUCUUUCAAUUAAUUAUAAAUAUCACCUUGGCUAAUGCUUAGAGCUUGAUUUAUUGGAUUUGAUUUUCUAAUCUUCGCUGCCCAGUUCGUCGGCAUCCAUGGAUGUUGCUGGGCUGAUGCGGAUUUUGGUGUUCCCUUCCAAUUUUGACUCGAUCUGCUCCUUUUUGAUGCUCUAUGGUCAGCUUUGGUGUUUUCUGAUCGGAGGACCUUUGCCGGUUUCUGGAUUUGUUUUCGUAGCAGCUGGGACGCUCAUGUUUCCAGUUGAUGCUUGUGUUUCACACGCGUGCUUGAGGCUGGGGUCUCAGUUGCUGAUGUUCCCACUUUCACAUAACCAGCUGCAGAUGAUGGAUACACGUGGGUCUGCCUCAAACAUGGGUCCCACCUUAUUUCAAAUGCAGAUCAUGUUCAAAUUCAGAAUUUAAUGUUCAACAAACCCAAUUGAAACCCUAAUUUGUAGAACCCAAAUCAAAACCCAAUAUCCAGAAAUUUGAUUAUAUACAUACAUAUAUAGAGAGAUCUAGAGAGAAAGAUGUAUAGAGAUAGAUUUGCUCAUCUUGGUUUUCUUAUCUCAAUCGCUUGCCCAAUCUAGUUCUUCCUAUUUCAAUUGUUUGCUCAAAAUCAGAAUCUAUAAAACUUCUUGCAUUCUUUGUGGAUAAUGAAAGAGCUUUUGAUGGUGAAGGUGCAAGGGUGGUUAGUGCCAUUGGUGAGGAAGAAACCAAAGAAGUAAGAAGAUGAAGGGGCUGUUGUUAUAUUAUUUUUUUAGUUUGUUUAGUUAAUUACUUAAGUUUCUGUUAUGUUUAGUUAGUUUAAUUUAUAUUUUGUUUUUUUAUUGAAAAAAAUAACUAUAUUUUGUAUUUUUGUUGGAGUAAUUGAUUGAUUAAGUAUUAAAGUUAUUAAUUUUUUAAGUGUA
RNAcentral lists this long non-coding RNA (945 nucleotides) under Panax ginseng (ginseng). RNAcentral's name for it is "long non-coding RNA (PGIN_LNC012820)". Lineage: Eukaryota; Viridiplantae; Streptophyta; Magnoliopsida; Apiales; Araliaceae. The record is from RNAcentral.